GCAACCUCUACCUCCCAGGUUCAAGUGAUUCUCCUGCCUCAGCCCCCCAAGUAGCUGGGAUUACAGGCACGUACCACAUGCCUGUCAUAUGCCAUUCUAUCAUCCAACUGGCCUGUGCUAUGGGUGACUCUUUCCUCUGUGUCAGGGUGGGUGUAAAAGCCCCGGGGUUGUAGCCCCACCAUCUGGCCAUCUCUGCUAACCACAGCCACCUUCCAGAGAUGACAUUCCAUAGAAUUGACUUUUUUUUUUUUUAAUUUUAAUAAUGUCAAGUUGUUUUUCCCCUUAGGGUAGAAUCCAUGGCAAGGCAAAAGGUCAGUUACAGACUAUAGCAUGGCAGAGUUAUCCAAUGUUCCACCUCUAUAACAAUGUGCUUCUAGGUGUCCUGGUAUAAAAGCCAGACGCCUUUAUGUAAUAAUUAGAUGUCAAUCUGUUAAAGACACCUUAAUCUGUAGUUUCUAGAGAACAAUAGACUUUCAUAUGAGUUUAUACUCAUACUGUGCCCUGAAAAUUAGUCAAAUAAAGAUUUGCGUGUUUAAAAAGCAGGUUUUUAAAGUAAAACAAAACACACAAAAACUCAUCAAAGCUUGAAGCCAACCAAAAAUACUAUCCCUAGGUGUCCACCCACUUUCCUGUUUAAUGCCAACUCGCUGCAGAGGCCCUAGGGUAAGAGUGCUUGGCUUAUCUAGCUGUUCCUCCAAUGAGUGAGUGGGGAAGGGAAGGAGAAGAAGGAGGUAAGGGCAGAGAGGAAGGGGAGCCAGGUCUUGCAGAGCUUGCCAGGCUGUGUAAGGACUUUGGCUUUGAUUUCUUGGAAGAUGGCAGCUCAGUGCAGGGCAUUGCUCCUUGGAGUGGCGUGAUCUGUGUGAAGACCCACCCAGGCAGAAGGCUCCCAAUCCAGGAGUUCAAGCAGGAGACAAAGCCAGGCAAGUGAGGGUGGAAGCUUUUGCCAGGGGGGUAGUGUCCACCAGGAUGGUGGCUGUGGAGCUGAAAUGUCAGAUUCUUGAGAAAGACAGAGAAGAAAGGACACAGAGAGAAGGGGAUCAGACACAGGCAUACGUGCAACUUUUAUUUUGAUAGAUCGAAGUGCCAACAGGACUUCCGGAGAGAUUGGAUGUGGGGUGUGAGAGAGAGAGGAGCCAAAGAUAACCUUCUCGGCAGAACCUGGGUCGCAAAAGGAAAUCUGAGUUUCAAAUGCUGGAAAUUCGCUGGGCUGUGUUCAGAUCACUUGCAACUAGGUUAUAAAGAGGCUCCUCAGAAACAUACAUAUAAGGCUUUGGUUCAGAGAACUUUGUGUUUACCAUCAGCCUGUCUUCCUAGUUUGGAGGAAAGGGCAUUGUUAGAAAAGAGAGUCGGUUUUCAGGAAGCAGAGGACUUGACUUCAUUGACAGGAGAGUGGCCUGUAACCCACAGGCUGUCCUGCCAGGGCGGCUGUCGCAGAUAUUGCCACUCACAAGCCCCUAGUCCCCUUCCCUAUCCUGUUCGUCUUUUGCCUAAUUGGGAGGUUAAGCUCUUUCCAGCCACUCCCCAUCUCCAUACACAUGGAUUUUUUGUUUUAAACAACUAUAUUGAGAUCUAAUUCAUGUACCAUACAAUUCAGCCUUUUAAAAUAUACAAUUCAAUGGUUCUUAGUAUAUUUACAGAGCUGUGCACCCAUUGCCACAAUCUGUGUUAGAACCUUUUCAUCACCCCCUAAGAGAAAUCAUGUACCUUUGAGCUGUGCCUCGUUUAUCUCCUUGUCCCUGCAGCCCUGGCAGCCUCUCAUCUACCUUCUGCUUCUACGGGUUUGCCAAUUCUGGACAUUUUGUGUAAAUGGAAUCGUAUGAUAUGUGGUCUUUUGUGAUCAUCUUUUUACACUUAGCAUAAUGUUUUUAGUGUAUAUUAUGGUCGGGUACGGUGGCUCACACCUGUAAUCCCAGCACUUUGGGAGGCUGAGGUGGGCAGAUCGCACAAGCUCAGGAGUUCGAGACCAGCCUGGGCAACAUAGUGAGACCCUGUCGCAAUUUUUUUAAAUUGUAAAAAAAAAAAAAAAAAUUAAUAAAAAA
Molecule: long non-coding RNA, 2039 nt
Filed under: Macaca fascicularis (crab-eating macaque)
Lineage: Eukaryota; Metazoa; Chordata; Mammalia; Primates; Cercopithecidae
Description: lncRNA (ENSMFAG00000063478.1)
Source: RNAcentral